This 458-nucleotide ribosomal RNA is filed under the name Nocardia sp. 15-078. RNAcentral's name for it is "bacterial SSU rRNA". It matches the Rfam family "Bacterial small subunit ribosomal RNA", at positions 36 to 511 of the family's 1533-position model. The record is from RNAcentral. Lineage: Bacteria; Bacillati; Actinomycetota; Actinomycetes; Mycobacteriales; Nocardiaceae.
CUGGCGGCGUGCUUAACACAUGCAAGUCGAGCGGUAAGGCCCUUCGGGGUACACGAGCGGCGAACGGGUGAGUAACACGUGGGUGAUCUGCCCUGUACUUCGGGAUAAGCCUGGGAAACUGGGUCUAAUACCGGAUAUGACCUUACAUCGCAUGGUGUUUGGUGGAAAGAUUUAUCGGUACAGGAUGGGCCCGCGGCCUAUCAGCUUGUUGGUGGGGUAAUGGCCUACCAAGGCGACGACGGGUAGCCGGCCUGAGAGGGCGACCGGCCACACUGGGACUGAGACACGGCCCAGACUCCUACGGGAGGCAGCAGUGGGGAAUAUUGCACAAUGGGCGAAAGCCUGAUGCAGCGACGCCGCGUGAGGGAUGACGGCCUUCGGGUUGUAAACCUCUUUCGACAGGGACGAAGCGCAAGUGACGGUACCUGUAGAAGAAGCACCGGCCAACUACGUGCCAG